UACAGAGGGGGCAAGCGUUGUCCGGAAUUACUGGGCGUACAGCGCGCGCAGGCGGUUGCCGACGUGCCGUGUGACGAGCGGGGGCUCAACCCCCGAGGGCCACGGUAAACGGGGCGACUGGAGGACGGGAGAGGGAUGUGGAAUGCCCGGUGGAGCGGUGAAAUGCGUAGAGAUCGGGCGGAACACCAGCGGCGAAGGCGGCAUCCUGGCCCUGACCUGACGCUGAGGCGCGAUAGCGUGGGGAGCAAACGGG
Molecule: ribosomal RNA, 253 nt
Filed under: uncultured bacterium
Lineage: Bacteria
Description: partial 16S ribosomal RNA
Rfam family: Bacterial small subunit ribosomal RNA
Source: RNAcentral